GAUGAAGAACGUAGUGAAAUGCGAUAAGUAAUGUGAAUUGCAGAAUUCAGUGAAUCAUCGAAUCUUUGAACGCACAUUGCGCCCGCCAGUAUUCUGGCGGGCAUGCCUGUUCGAGCGUCAUUUCAACCCUCAAGACCCCUUCGGGGGACUUGGUGUUGGGGACCGGCUGUUCCCGGCCUGCUUCUUGCAGCGCCUUUAUGCCGCCCCCGAAAUGAAUUGGCGGCCUCGUCGCGGCCUCCCCUGCGUAGUAGCACAACCUCGCAACGGGAACGUGACGGCGGCCACUGCCGUAAAACAACCCAAUUUUAUUAGAGUUGACCUCGAAUCAGGUAGGAAUACCCGCUGAACUUAAGCAUAUCAAUAAGCGGAGGA
RNAcentral lists this unclassified non-coding RNA (372 nucleotides) under soil metagenome. RNAcentral describes it as "partial contains 5.8S ribosomal RNA, internal transcribed spacer 2, and large subunit ribosomal RNA". The stretch from base 1 to 120 matches the Rfam family "5.8S ribosomal RNA", at positions 35 to 154 of the family's 154-position model. The record is from RNAcentral.